UGCUAUAAAAUCAAUGCAAUAUUAGCAUAAACAUAAUUUCAAGUGAAAAAAAAAAGCAAAUCUGAUC
Long non-coding RNA from Octodon degus (degu), 67 nucleotides. RefSeq lists it as uncharacterized. The transcript is spliced from 3 exons. Lineage: Eukaryota; Metazoa; Chordata; Mammalia; Rodentia; Octodontidae. The record is from RefSeq and is a predicted model, not a curated record.